This 815-nucleotide ribosomal RNA is filed under the name uncultured bacterium. RNAcentral's name for it is "bacterial SSU rRNA". It matches the Rfam family "Bacterial small subunit ribosomal RNA", at positions 8 to 812 of the family's 1533-position model. The record is from RNAcentral.
AGAGUUUGAUCCUGGCUCAGAUUGAACGCUGGCGGCAGGCUUAACACAUGCAAGUCGAACGGUAACAGGGGAAAGCUUGCUUUCUUGCUGACGAGUGGCGGACGGGUGAGUAAUGCUUGGGAAUCUGGCUUAUGGAGGGGGAUAACGACGGGAAACUGUCGCUAAUACCGCGUAGUGUCGAGAGACGAAAGUGCGGGACCGCAAGGCCGCAUGCCAUGAGAUGAGCCCAAGUGGGAUUAGGUAGUUGGUGGGGUAAAGGCCUACCAAGCCGACGAUCUCUAGCUGGUCUGAGAGGAUGAUCAGCCACACCGGGACUGAGACACGGCCCGGACUCCUACGGGAGGCAGCAGUGGGGAAUAUUGCGCAAUGGGGGCAACCCUGACGCAGCCAUGCCGCGUGAAUGAAGAAGGCCUUCGGGUUGUAAAGUUCUUUCGGUGACGAGGAAGGCGUGAUGUUUAAUAGGCAUCACGAUUGACGUUAAUCACAGAAGAAGCACCGGCUAACUCCGUGCCAGCAGCCGCGGUAAUACGGAGGGUGCGAGCGUUAAUCGGAAUAACUGGGCGUAAAGGGCACGCAGGCGGCUAUUUAAGUGAGGUGUGAAAUCCCCGGGCUUAACCUGGGAAUUGCAUUUCAGACUGGGUAGCUAGAGUACUUUAGGGAGGGGUAGAAUUCCACGUGUAGCGGUGAAAUGCGUAGAGAUGUGGAGGAAUACCGAAGGCGAAGGCAGCCCCUUGGGAAUGUACUGACGCUCAUGUGCGAAAGCGUGGGGAGCAAACAGGAUUAGAUACCCUGGUAGUCCACGCUGUAAACGCUGU